This 253-nucleotide ribosomal RNA is filed under the name uncultured bacterium. RNAcentral describes it as "partial 16S ribosomal RNA". It matches the Rfam family "Bacterial small subunit ribosomal RNA", at positions 524 to 776 of the family's 1533-position model. The record is from RNAcentral.
UACGUAGGGGGCAAGCGUUGUCCGGAUUUAUUGGGCGUAAAGAGCGUGUAGGCGGCUGGGUAGGUCCGCUGUGAAAACUCGAGGCUUAACCUCGAGACGUCGGUGGAAACCAUCCAGCUAGAGUCCGGAAGAGGAGAGUGGAAUUCCUGGUGUAGCGGUGAAAUGCGCAGAUAUCAGGAAGAACACCAAUGGCGAAGGCAGCUCGCUGGGACGUGACUGACGCUGAGACGCGAAAGCGUGGGGAGCAAACAGG